UACGUAGGGUGCAAGCGUUGUUCGGAAUUACUGGGCGUAAAGGGCUCGUAGGCGGCCAACUAAGUCGGACGUGAAAUCCCUCGGCUUAACCGGGGAACUGCGUCCGAUACUGGAUGGCUUGAGGUUGGGAGAGGGAUGCGGAAUUCCAGGUGUAGCGGUGAAAUGCGUAGAUAUCUGGAGGAACACCGGUGGCGAAGGCGGCAUCCUGGACCAAUUCUGACGCUGAGUGAGCGAAAGCCAGGGGAGCAAACGGG
This 254-nucleotide ribosomal RNA is filed under the name uncultured bacterium. RNAcentral describes it as "partial 16S ribosomal RNA". It matches the Rfam family "Bacterial small subunit ribosomal RNA", at positions 524 to 776 of the family's 1533-position model. The record is from RNAcentral.